This 601-nucleotide long non-coding RNA is filed under the name Carica papaya (papaya). RNAcentral's name for it is "long non-coding RNA (CPAP_LNC008942)". The record is from RNAcentral. Lineage: Eukaryota; Viridiplantae; Streptophyta; Magnoliopsida; Brassicales; Caricaceae.
AAUUAAAAUAAUAAUCAUAAUUAAUUUGGAUGUUGAUCUUACAUACAUACAUACAUACAAAUAUAUAUAUAUAUAUAUAUAUAUAUUCUCUAAAGAAAAAACAUACAACAAAGAGCCUCUGCAGGCUGCAGCCAGCUUUUUUCAAGUCUAACCCAGAAAGAAACAAGACCCAUAACUUCAAAAUCCAGAAACCAUUCUGAUCUUCAUUAUAUAUAUAUAUAAUGAAAAUCAAGGUGUUACCCAGAAAGGGUUCUGUUGUUCUUGAUUUUCUCUGCUGUAAUCAUGGAAGAAGGGAUUAUUAUACCCAAAGCUCCUACCAGUACGGCCAUGGCCGUGAUUACAUAUAUAUAUAUAUAUUCUCUAAAGAAAAAACAUACAACAAAGAGCCUCUGCAGGCUGCAGCCAGCUUUUUUCAAGUCUAACCCAGAAAGAAACCAAGACCCAUAACUUCAAAAUCCAGAAACCAUUCUGAUUUUCAUUAUAUAUAUUAUAAUGAAAAUCAAGGUGUUACCCAGAAAGGGUUCUGUUGUUCUUGAUUUUCUCUGCUGUAAUCAUGGAAGAAGGGAUUAUUAUACCCAAAGCUCCUACCAGUACGGCCAUG